Molecule: non-coding RNA, 109 nt
Organism: Acanthosepion pharaonis
Lineage: Eukaryota; Metazoa; Mollusca; Cephalopoda; Sepiida; Sepiidae
Source: the annotation of a GenBank genome assembly
CGACCGCACCCACUUGAAACACCGAUUCCGUACGAUCACCGAAAUUAAGCAACGUCGAGCCUGGUCAGUACCUAGAUGGGUGACCGCUUGCCAAUGCCAAGUGUUGUAA